UUAAGGCUGGUGUGUUAAAACUGGUUGUUAGACCCAUGUGUUAAGAUACAUGGGUCUAACAACCAAUUUUAACACACCAGCCUUA
Non-coding RNA from Podarcis lilfordi (Lilford's wall lizard), 85 nucleotides. NCBI's taxonomy places the organism in Eukaryota, Metazoa, Chordata, Lepidosauria, Squamata, Lacertidae. The record is from the annotation of a GenBank genome assembly.